GCAGUCUUUACAGCAUCUAAAGUUCCAAAAAUAGCUUGUAUUACUCUAACUAACUUAUCCCUAUCAGAAUCCACCAAAAUUGCUUUUAUAACCAAGUUAGAGAAACCUGUAUCAUGAUUUACUAUAUCAACCUCGAUUUCUCUAACCCAGCCCAGAUUUGUCAUCUUAUCCAAGAAUCCAUCAUGGAAUCGUUGAGUUAAGAAGUAUUUGACAUAUGAUCCUAACUUAUAUUUCCAAAGCUUACUCUGAUUUGGUAUUGGAAAUUCCAUUGUAAUGUAUGCUUCUGGAGUUCGAGAUUUAACUUCUAUAAAUUUCCCAAUUAAUGUAUCAUAAGGGUGAGUCACAUUUCCAGAAAACUCUUCUGGCUUUCCUGGAGUGACACCAGUACUGAAUAAGUCAGAAAACUCAUUUCUUACUAGCUCUUCUACAGUUUCUAGACUUAAACUAGUUGCAAUACUUAACACCAUUAAGUGGGGACUAUAGUAUUUUUUUUUAAACCUUAUGGCUUCCUCAUGAACUGAGAGAUUAUUCUUCGAAGGAAUCUCUCUCAAUGUUUCAUUUGUGCCAUAUGGAAAUCUAUGGAAGGCAUGAGAAGAAUUUGAAAGUUCUCGCUUUAAUUGUAGUUCUUGCAAAGAAUCAACACGUUUAAAUAUUUCAGUCAGCUCUGUAACCUGAGAAAUUGAUUCGUCCAAUGAACUCCAAGUAAUUUUUGUCUUAUCAAGUCUUUUUCUAAAAGCACUGACAGAAGACAUGAAAUACUUUGAUUUAAU
RNAcentral lists this non-coding RNA (770 nucleotides) under Cryptosporidium parvum. The record is from RNAcentral. Lineage: Eukaryota; Apicomplexa; Conoidasida; Eucoccidiorida; Cryptosporidiidae.